Molecule: ribosomal RNA, 100 nt
Filed under: Abax ovalis
Lineage: Eukaryota; Metazoa; Arthropoda; Insecta; Coleoptera; Carabidae
Description: partial 16S ribosomal RNA
Source: RNAcentral
CGUAAGCCAGGUCGGUUUCUAUCUUUAUUUAAUUUAAAUAUUUUAGUACGAAAGGACCAAAUAUUUUAUAUAUUUAUAUAUUUAUUUUUGAAUAUUAUUA